This 1553-nucleotide ribosomal RNA is filed under the name Vibrio scophthalmi. Its description in RNAcentral is "bacterial SSU rRNA". It matches the Rfam family "Bacterial small subunit ribosomal RNA". The record is from RNAcentral. Lineage: Bacteria; Pseudomonadati; Pseudomonadota; Gammaproteobacteria; Vibrionales; Vibrionaceae.
AAAUUGAAGAGUUUGAUCAUGGCUCAGAUUGAACGCUGGCGGCAGGCCUAACACAUGCAAGUCGAGCGGUAACAGAAAGAAAGCUUGCUUUCUUUGCUGACGAGCGGCGGACGGGUGAGUAAUGCCUGGGAAUAUGCCUUGAUGUGGGGGAUAACCAUUGGAAACGAUGGCUAAUACCGCAUAAUGCCUACGGGCCAAAGAGGGGGAUCUUCGGACCUCUCGCGUCAAGAUUAGCCCAGGUGGGAUUAGCUAGUUGGUGAGGUAAUGGCUCACCAAGGCGACGAUCCCUAGCUGGUCUGAGAGGAUGAAUCAGCCACACUGGAACUGAGACACGGUCCAGACUCCUACGGGAGGCAGCAGUGGGGAAUAUUGCACAAUGGGCGCAAGCCUGAUGCAGCCAUGCCGCGUGUGUGAAGAAGGCCUUCGGGUUGUAAAGCACUUUCAGUCGUGAGGAAGGUAGUUGCGUUUAAUAGCGUAAUUAUUUGACGUUAGCGACAGAAGAAAGCACCGGCUAACUCCGUGCCAGCAGCCGCGGUAAUACGGAGGGUGCGAGCGUUAAUCGGAAUUACUGGGCGUAAAGCGCAUGCAGGUGGUUUGUUAAGUCAGAUGUGAAAGCCCGGGGCUCAACCUCGGAAUUGCAUUUGAAACUGGCAGACUAGAGUACUGUAGAGGGGGGUAGAAUUUCAGGUGUAGCGGUGAAAUGCGUAGAGAUCUGAAGGAAUACCGGUGGCGAAGGCGGCCCCCUGGACAGAUACUGACACUCAGAUGCGAAAGCGUGGGGAGCAAACAGGAUUAGAUACCCUGGUAGUCCACGCCGUAAACGAUGUCUACUUGGAGGUUGUGGCCUUGAGCCGUGGCUUUCGGAGCUAACGCGUUAAGUAGACCGCCUGGGGAGUACGGUCGCAAGAUUAAAACUCAAAUGAAUUGACGGGGGCCCGCACAAGCGGUGGAGCAUGUGGUUUUAAUUCGAUGCAACGCGAAGAACCUUACCUACUCUUGACAUCCAGAGAAGCCAGCGGAGACGCAGGUGUGCCUUCGGGAACUCUGAGACAGGUGCUGCAAUGGCUGUCGUCAGCUCGUGUUGUGAAAUGUUGGGUUAAGUCCCGCAACGAGCGCAACCCUUAUCCUUGUUUGCCAGCGAGUAAUGUCGGGAACUCCAGGGAGACUGCCGGUGAUAAACCGGAGGAAGGUGGGGACGACGUCAAGUCAUCAUGGCCCUUACGAGUAGGGCUACACACGUGCUACAAUGGCGCAUACAGAGGGCUGCCAACCAGCGAUGGUGAGCGAAUCCCAAAAAGUGCGUCGUAGUCCGGAUUGGAGUCUGCAACUCGACUCCAUGAAGUCGGAAUCGCUAGUAAUCGUGGAUCAGAAUGCCACGGUGAAUACGUUCCCGGGCCUUGUACACACCGCCCGUCACACCAUGGGAGUGGGCUGCAAAAGAAGUGGGUAGUUUAACCUUUCGGAGGAGGACGCUCACCACUUUGUGGUUCAUGACUGGGGUGAAGUCGUAACAAGGUAGCGCUAGGGGAACCUGGCGCUGGAUCACCUCCUUA